Molecule: signal recognition particle RNA, 62 nt
Filed under: Methylophilaceae bacterium
Lineage: Bacteria; Pseudomonadati; Pseudomonadota; Betaproteobacteria; Nitrosomonadales; Methylophilaceae
Description: signal recognition particle sRNA small type
Rfam family: Bacterial small signal recognition particle RNA
About the family: The signal recognition particle (SRP) is a universally conserved ribonucleoprotein involved in the co-translational targeting of proteins to membranes. Archaeal SRP consists of a 7S RNA and homologues of the eukaryotic SRP19 and SRP54 proteins.
Source: RNAcentral
CAUUGUAAUUUAGCCAACCUGGUCAGGUGCGGAAGCAAGCAGCCACAACUAAAGAAACAAGU